GCACUCCUACGGGGGGCAGCAGUGAGGAAUAUUGGUCAAUGGGCGAGAGCCUGAACCAGCCAAGUCGCGUGAAGGAUGAAGGAUCUAUGGUUUGUAAACUUCUUUUAUAUGGGAAUAAAGUGAGGAACGUGUUCCUUUUUGUAUGUACCAUAUGAAUAAGCAUCGGCUAACUCCGUGCCAGCAGCCGCGGUAAUACGGAGGAUCCGAGCGUUAUCCGGAUUUAUUGGGUUUAAAGGGUGCGUAGGCGGUCAGGUAAGUUAGAGGUGAAAGCUCGAUGCUCAACAUCGAAACUGCCUCUGAUACUG
RNAcentral lists this ribosomal RNA (305 nucleotides) under uncultured bacterium. Its description in RNAcentral is "bacterial SSU rRNA". It matches the Rfam family "Bacterial small subunit ribosomal RNA", at positions 333 to 635 of the family's 1533-position model. The record is from RNAcentral.